GAUUUUCCUCGGCGCUCGUUAGCCAUCUUUACUAAUGGCAGCCCGCGGGCGUGAGGCGGGCCUGAGGGGUACUGCGUGGUGUCACCGAGCUAGAUCAAUCGGUGGGAGAGAAACGGAAAGAUACCACUAUCUGACUACACUGCUCUGGCUUCAGAGACUGGAAAGCUGCAUCAUCUGUGUGAACCGACAUCACUAUCUCCGAAUGCAGAGCCACAGAGUGCUGGAGCUGGGAGGAACCUUCCGGAUCCCUCUGGGGCCGGACUGCUUAUCUCAGCAGCAGCAGCCCCACACCUCUGAGGCAACAAAGCUAGAAGCUCUCAAUUCAAGAUGGAGAAACUGAGGCCCAGAAAAGGACUCACAGCAAGCAUGUGAGUGGAGUCGCAGACCCUGUUCUGACCCUGUCUCAUGCCUUAUGCACUGGACUGUGCUGACGGUUAGCACGGGAAGAGUUGGCUUGUGACUGCUCGCCAGCCAGCAUCUACGGGAAUCUACCACUCGGGUUCUGGGCACUACCGUGUCGGUCCCCUAGAGCUGGCCUGAGGGCCAUCCUCUGGGUGUUGUGCUUACCCGUCCGCUGGUGCUGACACCCGUGCUCAGGUACACCUGGAACAGCAUCCAGAGCAGCGGCCCAGAGCCCCUUGCCGGAUACCCUGGCCACAGCUUCGUUGAGUCCUGCUCUGAGGAGGGGAGAUGAGGUACCAGAGGUGGCCAGGACCUGGCUGAGGGGGGCGAGGAGCUUGGGCUCAGCGUGAAGAUACCAGUGGUCCUGUGAGACCCCUGUCUCCUAUUCAGAGAAGCAUUCUUGAGUUUGAUCUUGGAACCUAGCAGGAAAUUCUGUGGUUGUAUCAGGGUCAUAGCUGGAGUGGGGAGCGUCUUAGGGAAGUUGAGGGCUGGUAAGUGCAGUCAUAGGUCCUAGCCCUUUGCAGUCCAUAAAUGCUGCAGUCUGGUGAAGGAGCCAGGAAUUUUAUACCCGUGCUACAGGAAACAGGCUUAGGGAGGACAAGAGGCUUGCUGAAGGUGACACAGGAAGUCAGAGACAAAGCCAAGCCAGACCUCUUUCCUGCAGAGUAGGUGGGGGCAUCUCUGCUGCUUCUGUCAUUCCCUGUGGCCUGGCUCAGUUCCUCAGGGGUGCCCCUGUUCUCCCUGGGCCAGUAUCUGAGGCCUCUGGGCAGCCUGGAGCCAGACCUGCUCCCAGGUACUGCCAAUGAACACAGAGCCAAGAGGUGCUUGAUCACAGGGAUGUUUCAGGAGGCCCACUGUGAACAGGCAGUGGCACCACUGUGUCCUGGGUAUGAGCUUCAGGGUCUGCAGAGCCCGCCUGGCACGAGGGUGGUAGCAUCAUGUGCUUUUCAGCCGGCCUGACCAUGCUGGGUAGUGAGAGACCAGUGCCCACACACGCACGUCCCUGGAUGAAACCAUGACCCAGUGCCUGCAAACAGGGAAGGCCCUCCACACACCCUCAAGAGAGAGUCACCAGGGCCCAGUUGGGCAACAGGGUGGGGAGUCUUUCCUAGCUUUAGAGCAGAGAGAAAUCUGUGGGUCUUGGUCCAUAGAUGUGUUUUACUUGAUCUACAUUGUAUUUAAAAUUUUUAGACUUCACCAUCAGUAUUUAAAAUGCAGGUGAUUUCACAUGAACACCCAGACUCCCAGCUUUCAAAAUGAGACACUUGGCAGCCCGUGGCCUGCCUCUGUGUGGAGCUGAUCAUGAGCUGGGGGCUGUUUGUCGCAUGUCCCCAGUCCUUGUUCCAGAAUCAGGCAGAUGCUCAGAGGGCUUUUAAUUCUCAGGAUAUUUUUGAAGUGAGCGUGACAACUGCUCUUUCCUAGGUUGGUAAAAUAACUGGGGAGAGACUA
Manis pentadactyla (Chinese pangolin) is the source of this 1851-nucleotide long non-coding RNA. RefSeq lists it as uncharacterized. NCBI's taxonomy places the organism in Eukaryota, Metazoa, Chordata, Mammalia, Pholidota, Manidae. The transcript is spliced from 3 exons. The record is from RefSeq and is a predicted model, not a curated record.